GAAACACACGGCGGAGGUGAGACCGCCGCCCGGCCUGAUGCGGGAGCCGCACACCUAACAGUAAACACCGCAUUGCCUAGCAGCCACAUGUCUGGUCCCUGGUCUGCGCACGGGAGGGGGUGCGGGGCGGCGCACCCCGCCCGGCACGUGCUGAGUCAGCAGCACUGCGCUGAUGUAACCCUGAGAUCCGCUGCCUGGAGGAAACCAGUGCCCACCGGAUGCAGAUAGGAGACCCAGCUCCAGCCUGCUGGGAUCUCCGGGUACGGCAGAGAGGUCCCCUCACGCUCCCCGGAAGGCAAGGAAGCAGUCACAGAGAGCAAAGCAGCAGAGAGUGCAGCAGAGAGCAAAGCAAACAGCGGGUCCCCACAGCAUCGGGCUCCUGUGAGGACCCCAGGCGUCUGCUCUGGACCCCUGCCCAUGACGAGGAGAGGCUGAGCUCCGUGCGAGUGGGGACUCUGGGCCAGAGCUCCCCCGAUGCCGGGGUCACUGAAACCUGCACACUCAUCUGAGGGACACCUGGAGGCCUCCAUCCACACAACCCCCUCUCCCACACCACCCUGUGGGAACCUGCGAUCACCCCGAAGUGUUUCAGCAGGGCUGGGUGGGAGGGAUCCCUCCAGCCAGGACAGGAGUCAGGGGCCUACGGUGUCCUGCAGCCGCCCUGGCCACCCACACUGGCAUGGCUGGGAGUGCCGGACACUUGGGUCUCCAGGCCAGGGCAGGGAACCUGAGUGACCAGCGCAGCCCCUCUUUGGAGUACUGGGCAGAAGAGCUGGGUGAGGAGCCUGAGCUGCUCCCUGCAGGGGCACAGGGAGGCACCAUCCCAGGAGGACUGGGGGAUGCUGUGUGCCCUGGCUGCGGGCCAAGAGGUGACCCAGAUCACAGUGCUCCUCCGGCCUCAAGAGCACUGGGGGGUCUUCCUCUCCCUGCCUCCCCCGGCCGGCUGACCCCCCUGCUUGGCAUCAGAGCAGACUCAGCUGCGCCUGCGCCCAGGCUCCUCCUGCCCCCAGCAUCCUGGGACAACUCCCCAGGCCUCUCAGGAGCCCCAGCUGGAGAAACAGUGGUUUCUAAAAGCAGCGUCUGGAUGCGGGGCCUGGGUGCUAGGUCCCUAGGCAGCUCAGUAGUUCUGGGAAGAGCCGGGUUCCCAAGAAGCAACAAGCCGGCUGCCCUCGCGCAGAGGGUCCCCUAGAAAGUCUUCUCUAGGCACCGCCCCUGCGAGGCCCUUGUGGAGAGGACGUCCCCGGUGAGCCAGGGACGUGGGAGAGGGUCCGACCUGCUUCUACAGCGACGCAGCAGGUGCCCAGGUGCCCCUGUGACAGGGACGGUGGUGCCCCACCGCCGCUUCCUCUCCCCGUGGGAUGCACUGGUCAGGGUGUGGGCAUGAUGUCCUCGCUCGCUCGAGGGGGCUGGGGCCCACCGCGGCGCACCGAGCAGUUAGUGCAGUCACCUGCAACAAGCAAGUGAAGACACCGAGGCCCAACCACCCGCGAGGACCUCUCCCUGUCCUCCUUUCUCCCCCAACUGGGGCCCGCUUCCUCCUCCCUGCACGCGUUCCUUUACCCCCCACCCCAAAGAACGGCAUUUGCAAGAAAGAGAAAUUCGAAUCGCAGGAAAAGCAUGCGUUCAGCUUGGCAUGAUGGGGCUCGCCUGUCAUCUCAGCACUGGCCAGGCUGGAGCAGGAAGAUCGCUGAGGG
This is a long non-coding RNA of Chinchilla lanigera (long-tailed chinchilla), 1694 nucleotides long. RefSeq lists it as uncharacterized. The record is from RefSeq and is a predicted model, not a curated record. The transcript is spliced from 3 exons. Lineage: Eukaryota; Metazoa; Chordata; Mammalia; Rodentia; Chinchillidae.